CCUCGGCCUCCCAAAGUACUGGGAUUACAGGCGUGAGCCAACGCGCCCGGCCCACAGUAGUAUUUUAUGGAAUAUAUGCAGAAGAGCAAAAACAAAAACAAAAGUUUCUUGUUUUUCAAUAAUAGUCUAAUAAGCGAGAGCAUUUUAGAAAAGAACAAGUGGAUGUAUAAAUCAGUUUGUUUUCAAACACUUUCCCUGUAUCAUUUUGUGUUAUGUUAUUUUCUAGGGCAUCAGAAACUGCUAUGCUGUAAGCAGACUGGAGAGCCAAGAGAUAGCCUUGGCACUACUCUGAAAUAAGAUAUGUCAGGUCUACCCUUCUAUACUGCGUGACCAGCCUAGUUAAGAGUAGAUAUAUACAUGACAGUAAAGAGAUACAGCAUCAACAUGGAUGCUAGGUGUUAUCACCUCAUUAGCAAUGUUUCUUGUGUCAAUGAUAUGCAUGCUAAAUAAAAAAGACUAACAUAUGAAAAGAUAAAGAAUUCAAAAAUAAAACCAAGCUAAGCAGUAUGAUACCAAUUUGCACAAUUAAGUUGGAAAGACCAAACAGUACAAGCUUACACAUUCACUUUUAAAACUAUUUUAUUUUCUAAAAAUAAUUCCUAAAUUAUUUGUUAUUUCUAUUCUAAAAUUCAAAUUAUAUUUUACCUUAUUGGUUCCAAAGUAACCAAAACCUCUAUAAGACUGUAUUUUGAGCUCUCAGGGUAAAUAUUAUCCAGUAAUCUGGAUUUAAGCCUGAGCAUCUAGAAGUCAUCAAGAAACAUUUCUAUCACAAUACUUUAAUAUUUGCAUAAAGUAUAUUUGUCUCAUGCCUUUUAGCCUCACAAAUAUCAGAGUGAUUGAUACCUAUUAAAAGAAAGUUACAAGGCACAUAUUUUUCUCCUAAGAAGAAUAAGCAUCAAAUAAAUUUUAAGAGAGAAGUCCAUUUACAUAUUUCAACAAAGAGCAACUUAGGGAUUUGAAUUACAAGGGGAGAAAACAUGAGGGAUCAAAAUAAUAGGUGCUUCCAAUAUUUUAAGAAAACUGCCAUAACACUAAAGAUUCUUCUAUUAGCUUUGUCUACAAUAAGAAUCACUACCAUUUAUGGAGUACUUGCUAUGUGCUAGAUGCUACAUAUAAAUUAUCUCAUUUAAUCCUCAAAAAUAAUAUUUUCCCUAUUUUACAAAUUAGGUAACUAAGACUUAGUCAACUACUUUGUUGAAGGACACACAAGGUAUGAGACAGAACAGGAUUUUGAACCCAAGUUGAUCUAAUUCCAAAGCCUAUUCCUUUGCUAUACUAUGAUGCACAUCCUCCGUUCUUUUAAAGGAAGGCUGCAAACUCAAAAAUGCAAAUGGGGCCUUGUAAUUAAAAUAAAAUACAUGCUGUGAGUUAAAUAGAGAAUAAAGUGGUUUUGCAACCAAGUAUAUACCUGCCUACCUAACCUGGUCUCUUGAUAUAUAUUGUAAAAACAUAACAAAGCAGUCAAACAAAAUACAUCCACUGGCCACUAAUCUGCUGAACCCAUUUUCUAAAAUCACCAACUGAUAAUCAAUAGAAGAUGAAGAGCAAUCCUAGCAAGAAGGUGUUUUUUUUAAAUGUCAUUUUCACAUGAGAUGUGUAGGGUUGAAACCAGUUACCAAUGAGCAAGUGAAUAAAAUAUUGAUAUUUUUAAUGGUAACUCCUUUACUUUUGCCCCUUAUAUACAAACCUUGUAGCAAUAAUAAACUCUGUAGAAAAGUAUCAUUUAAUAUUGACUGUUUUCUACUUUUAUACUUAGUAUUUCCAAAGAUGUACUUGAAGGGUGAAUGUACGCAAGUCUAAAAACAGACUUCUUACCUAACAGAUUUACAUGCAAUAAUGGUCGUUAUGUACUCAAGGAGUUAAAAGAUAUAAUCAAAUCCCUAAUUAUUGCUCUGAGAGCACUAUUAACUACCUGAACACCACCCCUACUCUAAACCAGCAACCCAGGGAGCAGCAGAUAACCCUCAUAGGCACCCCAACUCCCUGUAGCCUUGGGAAUUAGAAUCAGGUAUUUCUCCUUCCUACAGCCUACAGUCCUCCCACUGACAAUUCCCCACUCCACACAAGGGCAAAACCUAGGUGGUAAAAUGGCAGAGGUGUGACAGAAAAGGAAGGGCAUGGGGAAAGUCUGAGUAGAUGGACACCACUGUUAAACAAAUUCCAAGCUUUGGCUGUGCAGUGGUCCACAGAAGCAUUUGGCAAUCUAGGAUCCCCAGGAGGCUCCUCCAUAAGGCACAGCACAGUAAAAAUACUUAGACUACUGCCAGACCAAGUCCCUACUCUAAAAAACACUGUCAGUGGUCUAGGGCUGAAGUGCCAAAAUGCAAUAGAUCAAAAUUAUCAAGACUCAGGAAAUAGAACAUAGAAAAUUCAGUUCCAUAUGCAGAAGAGAGUUCAGGAAGUCAAUAUAUAAUGUUUAAAAAUAUUAUUUUUAUGACAGUCAAGGCCCACCAAAUGUGUACUAACACUAAACAAAAGAGGUUACCCAUAAUGUCAGGUAUUAUAAGAAUAAGUUAUACAACUAAGUAGGUAUUUAGACUAAAUAAAACUGCUGAUUUAUAGAUUGAAUAAUACAUUAUUGAUCUGGGCACUCACUAAAUGACACUGCCAAACACUGCCAAGGAUUUUAUACAUAACCACAUUUUCAACCUAUCCUAAUAUCAUAUUUGCUUCUAUUUUAAUGAGUAUUAUGUACCUAAGUAUAUCACUGUAUCAGGCUUUUAACACUGACCUUAAUCACUGUGUUUUUAAAAAAAUAUUUAUUAGAAAGUGUAAUAAUAUUUCAUGUCUUUAGCUCAUUUUCUCUGUUCUCUAUCUACUCAACAGGUCACGUUAAAUGUCUGCCAUCUAAAAAUGCAUCACUAGAAUUAUUGAGUGGUUCAAAAAGAAGUAUAUACUUUAGUUGAAGUUUGUGACUCAUAUAUACACUUUCAUGUGUAUUUCUUUCAAAUAAAAAAUAUGCAUCUGAGCACAGCUGACAUUCUGACACAGAAAAUAUACAUCUUCCCUAGUCUCACCCAUAACUUACUAUUAUAACAACCAAAGUGUCACAUUGACACUCAUAUCAUAUUCAUAGUUUAUUGUUUAUAAGGAAUCCAUUAAACCAACACAUUGCUCCUAUGUAUUCUAGAACUACCUGAUAUAAUGUGAAGGGGGAAAGGGUAGAAAUCACACAAUUAAUCCUUAUUUAGAGAUAAUUUUUAUAGCAUAUAAAGUGAAAAAUAAAUUCAAAUAAAUGAGAGAGAAUUCUAAAAACAAUAAUUUAAAUCACCAUUGUUCCUAAAGCAAUAGCUUGAUUUCUCUGCAUUCAAGUAUAAGCUUUCAGCAGCAAAUACUGAUUAAUAUGGUAGCUUAAUUUAUCUUUAAUCUGCUUCAAAUUAAAUCAUUUUUAAACUUCCAGUUAGAAAUUCUCGAGCUGUGAGUUUCUAUUACUGCAUAGCAAUUAUAAGCUCCCAGCUGUGCAAUAAAUAUUACCUGAACAGAACUUCUUAAAAUACCCUUUACAAUUAAAUACCUAGUAAUCAUUAAACAAGGCAAGAAAUAGAAGGUUUGGGGUUUUGGGGGGAGAUGAGCAAGCAAACAUUGUUUUACAACAGGUUUCUGGAAACUAUAAACUCAAAUAGCAGAUUACUAAUUAUUGGGAAGGAGAUGGGAUCUUGGUUCUAAGAAUCUCUGUAACAACUUGGAUAUAGAUGUUAUAGAGCCUAACUAAAUUAUUCCUUGCAAAGACAGAGGUGUAAUAUUCUCAGCAAAGUCCUGUAGAGUACACCCAGUCAGUUGAUAGUCAUCUAUGGUAAAGUCAUUCAUGGGGGCUUUCAGUAGAACAGAGGGAGAAAUUCCAACAUAUUCGGCAUACUCUCUAAAGAAAAAGGAAAAAAAAAAAAAAAA
Cercocebus atys (sooty mangabey) is the source of this 3888-nucleotide long non-coding RNA. RefSeq lists it as uncharacterized. The record is from RefSeq and is a predicted model, not a curated record. Lineage: Eukaryota; Metazoa; Chordata; Mammalia; Primates; Cercopithecidae. The transcript is spliced from 2 exons.